GUCCACUGAACCUUAUCAUUUAGAGGAAGGAGAAGUCG
RNAcentral lists this ribosomal RNA (38 nucleotides) under Stemona tuberosa. RNAcentral describes it as "partial 18S ribosomal RNA". RNAcentral also lists the same sequence under 4 other names. Lineage: Eukaryota; Viridiplantae; Streptophyta; Magnoliopsida; Pandanales; Stemonaceae. The record is from RNAcentral.